RNAcentral lists this ribosomal RNA (365 nucleotides) under uncultured bacterium. RNAcentral's name for it is "partial 16S ribosomal RNA". It matches the Rfam family "Bacterial small subunit ribosomal RNA", at positions 94 to 526 of the family's 1533-position model. The record is from RNAcentral.
AGUGGCGGACGGGUGAGUAAUGUCUGGGAAACUGCCUGAUGGAGGGGGAUAACUACUGGAAACGGUAGCUAAUACCGCAUACCAUCGGAUGUGCCCAGAUGGGAUUAGCUAGUAGGUGGGGUAAAGGCUCACCUAGGCGACGAUCCCUAGCUGGUCUGAGAGGAUGACCAGUCACACUGGAACUGAGACACGGUCCAGAUGACGACGUGAGGCAGCAGGGGGGAAUAUUGCACAAUGGGCGAAGGCCUGAUGCAGCCAUGCAGCGUGUAGGAAGAAGGCCGUUGGGUUGUAAAGUACUUGCAGAGGGGAGGCGGUACCCGCAGAAGAAGCACAGGCUAACUCAGUGCCAGCAGCCGCGGUAAUUC